RNAcentral lists this ribosomal RNA (262 nucleotides) under uncultured vent bacterium. RNAcentral's name for it is "partial 16S ribosomal RNA". It matches the Rfam family "Bacterial small subunit ribosomal RNA", at positions 1145 to 1420 of the family's 1533-position model. The record is from RNAcentral.
GGGACCGCCGGUGAUAAGCCGGAGGAAGGUGGGGAUGACCAAGUCAUAUGCCCUUACGGGCUGGGCUACACACGUGUACAAUGGCGGUGACAUGGGCAGCGACACAGCGAUGUGAUGCUAAUCCCAAAAAGCCGUCUCAGUUCAGAUUGACCGCAACUCGAGGAUGAAGUCGGAAUCGCUAGUAAUCGCGGACAGCAUGCCGCGGUGAAUACGUUCCCGGGCCUUGUACACACGCCCGUCACACCAUGGGAGUGGUUUACCC